This 440-nucleotide ribosomal RNA is filed under the name uncultured bacterium. RNAcentral describes it as "partial 16S ribosomal RNA". It matches the Rfam family "Bacterial small subunit ribosomal RNA", at positions 338 to 795 of the family's 1533-position model. The record is from RNAcentral.
CCUACGGGAGGCAGCAGUAGGGAAUAUUGCUCAAUGGGGGAAACCCUGAAGCAGCAACGCCGCGUGGAGGCUGAAGGUUUUCGGAUUGUAAACUCCUUUUGUUAGAGAAGAUAAUGACGGUAUCUAACGAAUAAGCACCGGCUAACUCCGUGCCAGCAGCCGCGGUACUACGGAGGGUGCAAGCGUUACUCGGAAUCACUGGGCGUAACGAGCGCGUAGGCGGGAUAGCAAGUCAGAUGUGAAAUCCUAUGGCUUAACCAUAGAACUGCAUUUGAAACUGUUAUUCUAGAGUAGGGGAGAGGUAGGUGGAAUUCUUGGUGUAGGGGUAAAAUCCGUAGAGAUCAAGAGGAAUACUCAUUGCGAAGGCGACCUGCUAGAACAUAACUGACGCUGAUGCGCGAAAGCGUGGGGAGCAAACAGGAUUAGAUACCCCUGUAGUC